GAACCUGCAGAUAGGCAUGUCGAUAAGCCGAGGAGAUCCGUACUCUGAAAUGCAGAGACGCCUGAGUACUAUAUAAUAGUUAAAACUUUCAACAACGGAUCUCUUGGUUCUGGCAUCGAUGAAGAACGCAGCGAAAUGCGAUAAGUAAUGUGAAUUGCAGAAUUCAGUGAAUCAUCGAAUCUUUGAACGCACAUUGCGCCCCUUGGUAUUCCGGGGGGCAUGCCUGUUCGAGCGUCAUUACAACCCUCAAGCUCUGCUUGGUAUUGGGCGUCCCCGGCGACGGGGUGCCCUAAAAUCAGUGGCGGUGCCGUCUGGCUCUAAGCGUAGUAAAUCUCUCGCUCUGGAUGCCCGGUGGAUGCUCGCCAGAACCCCCCAUUUUUACAGGUUGACCUCGGAUCAGGUAGGGAUACCCGCUGAACUUAAGCAUAUCAAUAGCCCG
RNAcentral lists this ribosomal RNA (439 nucleotides) under Phlyctema vagabunda. RNAcentral describes it as "eukaryotic LSU rRNA". The stretch from base 84 to 237 matches the Rfam family "5.8S ribosomal RNA". Lineage: Eukaryota; Fungi; Ascomycota; Leotiomycetes; Helotiales; Dermateaceae. The record is from RNAcentral.